Molecule: long non-coding RNA, 1168 nt
Organism: Spodoptera litura
Lineage: Eukaryota; Metazoa; Arthropoda; Insecta; Lepidoptera; Noctuidae
Source: RefSeq, a predicted model, not a curated record
AUAAACAAAUAAAUAAUCUUGCACGGCGUCACAAGAUGAUAAGAUGGGUCUGUAUAAAUGUUACUGUGAUGUGCACAUCUCGUCAGUUUGACGCCCAGCUCAAGCAGUGAGGUCAGUCUGAGUACCUAUUGCAGUGUGUAAAUACCGAAGCAAUGAAGUUCAUUGUAUGUGUCUUCCUAUUCUUGGCGAUCUUGGAGGGAUUCCAAUGUGCUCCACUUUGCCAAUUUUGGCAUUGUUUUUAUGAAUAUUCCAAUUCACAAACAACAACUUAUCAAAAUGUUUUCACGAAUAAUGGUAACCACAAUGUCAUGAUAGUUAAUGGGGGUGGCAAAGGUCUCUUUGGACAAUUAAUGCUAUUAUAAUAAGAUAUGUGUUUUUAUCAUAACUAUCGUGAGAUAUACUAAAUUAACUAAAAAUCUUUUACUCACGUUACUCACGUGAAAAUACUGAGAAAAGCUCUACUAGUUUCAAACCACAGAGGGGUUCUUCCUCGUGAGCGGCGUGCGCGGUAGCGGCGAUGUUUCUGUGUUUCUCAUUAUUUUCACGUGAGUAACCCGUGAUUUUUUUAGUUUAAUAAGAUGUAUGGAUGUUGUCUGAGAAUCACGACGGGUUAUACUUAAACCGAGGACCAAAUCAUGGCAUUGUUACUUUAGCAGAACAAAAAUGUUAAUCGUGAUGGACAGCUACUUGUGGGCGGCGUUUCGUUCACCAUUCCUGCCUGUUGAAAUAUCGUACCCAAAUAUUCUCACACAAAAAUAGUCUCUAAUCAUCGGAAAUAAGGUCUAUAAUGUAGUUAGUGGAGAGCUGCCACCGGUGACCGCUUGGGGAUAAAAGGGCAGCUGCUGGACUAUAUAUAUAUAUAUAUAUACCCGCAGCUACAAUACAACGUAAUUAUCAUUAGACUCAAUAUUGUCAGUCUCCAAAUUAUAGUAAUAAAAUUUAAUUCAACAUUUAAAUCCUGAUUUUUAUUUCGCACAGACACAUAGUCAUUAACACUGCGUCUUCUCGAAAACAUAGGCAGCUGUGUAUCAGCCAUUGUCAGCAAAUGAUGAAGUGUAAUUGUUAAGGGAACUCUUCAACGGUAUACAGUACAUAUCUUGGUUGUCUGCUUGAUUUAUUUGUAUUGAUGAGAAUUUUGUAUUUAUGUGGAUUAUAUGUGGCAUAACGG